CCUACGGGAGGCAGCAGUGGGGAAUAUUGGACAAUGGGCGAAAGCCUGAUCCAGCAAUGCCGCGUGAGUGAUGAAGGCCUUCGGGUCGUAAAGCUCUUUUACCAGGGAUGAUAAUGACAGUACCUGGAGAAUAAGCUCCGGCUAACUCCGUGCCAGCAGCCGCGGUAAUACGGAGGGAGCUAGCGUUGUUCGGAAUUACUGGGCGUAAAGAGUACGUAGGCGGUUAUUCAAGUCAGAGGUGAAAGCCCGGGGCUCAACCCCGGAACUGCCUUUGAAACUAGAUAACUAGAGUCUUGGAGAGGUUAGUGGAAUUCCGAGUGUAGAGGUGAAAUUCGUAGAUAUUCGGAAGAACACCAGUGGCGAAGGCGACUAACUGGACAAGUACUGACGCUGAGGUACGAAAGCGUGGGGAGCAAACAGGAUUAGAUACCCUGGUAGUCCACGCCGUAAACGAUGAUAACUAGUUGUUCGGUCACUUGGUGACUGAGUGACGCAGCUAACGCAUUAAGUUAUCCGCCUGGGGAGUACGGUCGCAAGAUUAAAACUCAAAGAAUUGACGG
Molecule: ribosomal RNA, 560 nt
Filed under: uncultured bacterium
Lineage: Bacteria
Description: bacterial SSU rRNA
Rfam family: Bacterial small subunit ribosomal RNA
Source: RNAcentral